GAUGAACGCUGGCGGCAUGCCUAAUACAUGCAAGUCGAGCGAACAGACGAGGAGCUUGCGCCCCUGACGUUGGCGGCGGACGGAUGCGUAACAUGGGGAUAACCUACCUAUAAGACUGGGAUAACUUCGGGAAACAGGAGCUACUACCGGAUAAUAUAUUGAACCGCAUGGUUCAAUAGUGAAAGACGGUUUUGCUGACACUUAUAGAUGGAUCCGCGCCGCAUUAGUUAGUGGGUAAGGUAGCGGCUUACCAAGGCGACGAUGCGUAGCCGACCCGAGAGGGUGGUCGGCCACACUGUAUCUGAGACACGGCCCCGACUCCGACGGUGGGCCGCGGUAGGGAAUCUUCCGCGAUGGGCGAGAGCCUGACGGUGCAACGCCGCGUGAGUGAUGAAGGUCUUCGGAUCGUAGAGUUCUGUUAUUAGGGAGGUAGAAAUGUUUAAGUACCUGUGCACGUCUUGACGGUACCGGGUCAAAAAGCCACGGCUAACUACGUG
RNAcentral lists this ribosomal RNA (497 nucleotides) under uncultured bacterium. Its description in RNAcentral is "partial 16S ribosomal RNA". It matches the Rfam family "Bacterial small subunit ribosomal RNA", at positions 28 to 507 of the family's 1533-position model. The record is from RNAcentral.